GUCCACGCCCUAAACGAUGUCGACUGGUUGUUGGGGUUGACACUCUCAGUAACGAAGCUAACGCGUGAAGUCGACCGCCUGGGGAGUACGGCCGCAAGGUUAAAACUCAAAGGAAUUGACGGGGACCCGCACAAGCGGUGGAUUAUGUGGAUUAAUUCUAUGCAACGCGAAAAACCUUACCUACCCUUGACAUGUCCGAGAGGCUGGAGAGAUCCAGCUGUGCCCGAAAGGGAAUCGUAACACAGGUGCUGCAUGGCUGUCGU
RNAcentral lists this ribosomal RNA (263 nucleotides) under uncultured bacterium. Its description in RNAcentral is "partial 16S ribosomal RNA". It matches the Rfam family "Bacterial small subunit ribosomal RNA", at positions 793 to 1055 of the family's 1533-position model. The record is from RNAcentral.